ACAAAGGCCCUUUUCAGGGCCACUAAACAACAUUAUUUCGAUUAAU
Molecule: non-coding RNA, 46 nt
Organism: Phlebotomus papatasi
Lineage: Eukaryota; Metazoa; Arthropoda; Insecta; Diptera; Psychodidae
Source: Rfam